CCUACGGGGGGCUGCAGUGGGGAAUUUUGGACAAUGGGGGAAACCCUGAUCCAGCAAUGCCGCGUGCAGGAUGAAGGCCUUCGGGUUGUAAACUGCUUUUGUACGGAACGAAAAGCUCUGGGUUAAUACCCUGGAGUCAUGACGGUACCGUAAGAAUAAGCACCGGCUAACUACGUGCCAGCAGCCGCGGUAAUACGUAGGGUGCGAGCGUUAAUCGGAAUUACUGGGCGUAAAGCGUGCGCAGGCGGUUUUGUAAGACAGUGGUGAAAUCCCCGGGCUCAACCUGGGAACUGCCAUUGUGACUGCAAGGCUGGAGUGCGGCAGAGGGGGAUGGAAUUCCGCGUGUAGCAGUGAAAUGCGUAGAUAUGCGGAGGAACACCGAUGGCGAAGGCAAUCCCCUGGGCCUGCACUGACGCUCAUGCACGAAAGCGUGGGGAGCAAACAGGAUUAGAUACCCCGGUAGUC
RNAcentral lists this ribosomal RNA (465 nucleotides) under uncultured Comamonas sp. Its description in RNAcentral is "bacterial SSU rRNA". It matches the Rfam family "Bacterial small subunit ribosomal RNA", at positions 338 to 795 of the family's 1533-position model. Lineage: Bacteria; Pseudomonadati; Pseudomonadota; Betaproteobacteria; Burkholderiales; Comamonadaceae. The record is from RNAcentral.